CGGGUGGAUCACGAUGCAAUUUU
Molecule: non-coding RNA, 23 nt
Filed under: Callorhinchus milii (elephant shark)
Lineage: Eukaryota; Metazoa; Chordata; Chondrichthyes; Chimaeriformes; Callorhinchidae
Also listed under: 30 other names
Source: RNAcentral